GUCGGGAAUACAACAUUGGCCCAACAUUGGGCCAACGUUGUAAUAUUGUGACUAAUUAAUUGCCGGAGUAUGUUGUCAACACAAUGCUGGCCCAACAUUGGGCCAAUGUCAACUUAUCACUUUCAUACUGGUACCGAGGUUAGUUGGGAAUACAACAUUGGCCCAACAUUGGGCCAACAUUGUAAGAUUGUGAUGAAAUUCGACUAAAAAAUAGAUUUUGAUAUCUAUAUUUAUGACACACGCACACACAAAUGCGCAUGACUCGCAUGUUUUGAAGAAGAGGAUGAUGAGUUAAUUAAAAUAAGCUACGUAUAUAUAGAAUGUAUAAUUGAUUUGAAAUAUUUAUAAUUUUUGUAAAAUAUAUGCAUACAUAAUUGAUUUCUUUUUUAGAAAACAUAUUAAAAAAUUAACAUACAUUCAAUUAUCAUUUGUGCAGGGAUGAAAAUUAACCUUGCAUAUCAAAAGAAUGAACUCAAAAGAGAAAGGUUUAACACAUGCAAAGAUUACAUAAAUGCUCUAAAGUGUUGGAUUUAGGAAGCAGAUUCUAAGAUAAGAGCACAUUUACUGACCAAGCAAUUAGGACAGAGUUUUUCACAGCUUGAGACUGGCCAGUUUCCAUGGUAAUCUUGAUAUCUGAUAUGUUGGGAUGGUCAAUCCUGUAUCUAUUUUACGCGUCCAGCAUUCUAGCUAAUCUCGGAGUUUUACUGAGGAAUAACGUGAAACAAGGCAACUGAAAAAGGAAAGCUCAUUCCGGGGAAUCGUUUUUAUUGUGAAUUCAGAUUAAAGUAAUACGUCCUGGCAUACGUAUACAGAAAUGAGCUGCUCGAGCAAACCGAUUAUGUGCAGACGCAACACACAAUGAGAUAAACAAUGUUAUCAAAGAGUGGUUCCGGUACGCAUGUGACCGUGAAGGAGGUCGAAAAGAAAGAGAGGAAAGAAAAAAAGAAAAAGAGAGAAACCAAAGCUCCCAGAAUGCAACAGAGGACAGUGAUUCAUAAUUGUGGAAGAAUUAAAGUGUAUGCACAUGUAUCAGACAAAGAGACAAAGUUAACUUGUUUACACUGGAAUGCAUUUAUUGUUUUAAUCAUAUUUUCAUUUGACCAGUUGUUAACACAAAUUAAAUUCAUUAGAUGUC
Ostrea edulis (European flat oyster) is the source of this 1135-nucleotide long non-coding RNA. RefSeq lists it as uncharacterized. NCBI's taxonomy places the organism in Eukaryota, Metazoa, Mollusca, Bivalvia, Ostreida, Ostreidae. The transcript has 2 exons. The record is from RefSeq and is a predicted model, not a curated record.